AAGCUAGCAUGGCGGCCGCCGGGGCUGCGGCUACAGACCUAGGUGCGGUGGGCUUCGGGUGGGGGCCUGCAGCUAGCUGAUGGCAAGGGAGGAAUAGCAGGGGUGGGGAUUGUGGUAUGCGAGAGGUCCUGGGGACAGGGGGCUCGGGGGGUCUCUUCAGACAAGAUUCCCUUCAGGCUUGGGCCGGGUCCCUUCGCACGGAGAUCCCAAUGAACGCGGGCCCCUGGAGGCCGGUGGUUGGGGCUUCUCCGCGUCGGGGAUGGGGCCGGUACCCUAGCCCGUUUCCAGCGCCUCAUUCGGUUCCCCAUGCCCUCAGAGGUGGCCCGGGGCAAGCGCGCCGCCCUCUUCUUCGCUGCGGUGGCCAUCGUGCUGGGGCUACCGCUCUGGUGGAAGACCACGGAGACCUACCGGGCCUCGUUGCCUUAUUCCCAGAUCAGUGGGCUGAAUGCCCUGCAGACAAAAUGAAAAUCAAAUGCCGUUUCCAGAAGGCCUAUCGGAGGGCUUUGGACCAUGAGGAGGAGGCCCUGUCAUCGGGCAGUAUGCAAG
This 546-nucleotide small RNA is filed under the name Pongo abelii (Sumatran orangutan). Its description in RNAcentral is "retained intron". Lineage: Eukaryota; Metazoa; Chordata; Mammalia; Primates; Hominidae. The record is from RNAcentral.